UGUUAGCGGCGGACGGGUGAGUAACACGUGGGUAACCUGCCUGUAAGACUGGGAUAACUCCGGGAAACCGGGGCUAAUACCGGAUGCUUGUUUGAACCGCAUGGUUCAAACAUAAAAGGUGGCUUCGGCUACCACUUACAGAUGGACCCGCGGCGCAUUAGCUAGUUGGUGAGGUAAUGGCUCACCAAGGCAACGAUGCGUAGCCGACCUGAGAGGGUGAUCGGCCACACUGGGACUGAGACACGGCCCAGACUCCUACGGGAGGCAGCAGUAGGGAAUCUUCCGCAAUGGACGAAAGUCUGACGGAGCAACGCCGCGUGAGUGAUGAAGGUUUUCGGAUCGUAAAGCUCUGUUGUUAGGGAAGAACAAGUACCGUUCGAAUAGGGCGGUACCUUGACGGUACCUAACCAGAAAGCCACGGCUAACUACGUGCCAGCAGCCGCGGUAAUACGUAGGUGGCAAGCGUUGUCCGGAAUUAUUGGGCGUAAAGGGCUCGCAGGCGGUUUCUUAAGUCUGAUGUGAAAGCCCCCGGCUCAACCGGGGAGGGUCAUUGGAAACUGGGGAACUUGAGUGCAGAAGAGGAGAGUGGAAUUCCACGUGUAGCGGUGAAAUGCGUAGAGAUGUGGAGGAACACCAGUGGCGAAGGCGACUCUCUGGUCUGUAACUGACGCUGAGGAGCGAAAGCGUGGGGGAGCGAACAGGAUUAGAUACCCUGGGUAGUCCACGCCGUAAACGAUGAGUGCUAAAGUGUUAUGGGGUUUCCGCCUCCUUAGUGCUGCAGCUAACGCAUUAAGCACUCCGCCUGGGGAGUACGGUCGCAAGACUGAAACUCAAAGGAAUUGACGGGGGCCCGCACAAGCCGGUUGGUAGCAUCGUGGUUAACUUCGAAAGCAACUGCGAAGAACCCUUACUCAGGUCUUGACAUCUUCUGACCAUUCUUAAAAGAUAGAACGUUCCCCUUCAGGGGCCAAGAGUGAACAGGUGGUGCAAUGGCUGAUCGUUCAGUCUCCGUG
RNAcentral lists this ribosomal RNA (1013 nucleotides) under Bacillus sp. (in: firmicutes). RNAcentral describes it as "bacterial SSU rRNA". It matches the Rfam family "Bacterial small subunit ribosomal RNA", at positions 90 to 1069 of the family's 1533-position model. The record is from RNAcentral. Lineage: Bacteria; Bacillati; Bacillota; Bacilli; Caryophanales; Bacillaceae.